Long non-coding RNA from Saccostrea cuccullata (small rock oyster), 696 nucleotides. RefSeq lists it as uncharacterized. The transcript is spliced from 4 exons. Lineage: Eukaryota; Metazoa; Mollusca; Bivalvia; Ostreida; Ostreidae. The record is from RefSeq and is a predicted model, not a curated record.
UCUAAAAACGUGGCGACAUCAGCUGAGAUAUGCAAUGGAUUUAAAUGCAAUAACCAGACAUUCUUUAAAGAAAAUAUGGAUAAGAUAAGAGACAAAGCAUUGUUUAUCCCUAUUACGAGAUUAUGAGGACAUGAUUACAGAAAAUAACGGAAGACUGAGACGAUCUGCGCUAGCUCCCUAGAUCCAUCACUGCAGUGCAUUCAGCCCAGCAGUCAAGAGUUCCAGGCUUGAAGAAUAGAUAAAUACAAAAUGCACCCAUUUCUCCACAUGCUAUUCCUAAAGAAUUGGACCAAUAGAUUCAUUCAGACAGCAAGUUAAUCCAUCAUGUAAGGAAAAUGAAUUGAUUUCAUCCACAAGAACAUGAAGUGAUGGAAAUGAUUUGCAGCUGCAAAGUAUUCCUUGUACAACCCACCAUAAUUUGAAAAGCUGUUUAUGAAAUAAAAUUUCUUCAUAAAAAAUUAUUUGACUUUUUCAUAUACAUGUACAUGUACUUACUGUACAGGUGUUGAAAAGGCUAUCAAGAUUUGAUUAUCUUGACUUGCAUAUACUUGUGUGGUGGGUGUCAAUGUCCAUCAAGUUUUUAUUUCCAGCAUGUACAUUGUGUUCAUUUGUUUUUCUUAAUAAUAGUAACUGAAAAGGAGAUUAAAGGCUCCCCUAACUGAUUCAAAACAGGAAAGGGGACCACCAUUUUAUUCU